Molecule: ribosomal RNA, 808 nt
Filed under: Kocuria sp.
Lineage: Bacteria; Bacillati; Actinomycetota; Actinomycetes; Micrococcales; Micrococcaceae
Description: bacterial SSU rRNA
Rfam family: Bacterial small subunit ribosomal RNA
Source: RNAcentral
CGAUGAUCUCCCGCUUGCGGGAGUGAUUAGUGGCGAACGGGUGAGUAAUACGUGAGUAACCUGCCCUUGACUCUGGGAUAAGCCUGGGAAACCGGGUCUAAUACUGGAUACGACUCCUCAUCGCAUGGUGGGGGGUGGAAAGGGUUUGACUGGUUUUGGAUGGGCUCACGGCCUAUCAGCUUGUUGGUGGGGUAAUGGCUCACCAAGGCGACGACGGGUAGCCGGCCUGAGAGGGUGACCGGCCACACUGGGACUGAGACACGGCCCAGACUCCUACGGGAGGCAGCAGUGGGGAAUAUUGCACAAUGGGCGCAAGCCUGAUGCAGCGACGCCGCGUGAGGGAUGACGGCCUUCGGGUUGUAAACCUCUUUCAGCAGGGAAGAAGCCACAAGUGACGGUACCUGCAGAAGAAGCGCCGGCUAACUACGUGCCAGCAGCCGCGGUAAUACGUAGGGCGCAAGCGUUGUCCGGAAUUAUUGGGCGUAAAGAGCUCGUAGGCGGUUUGUCGCGUCUGCUGUGAAAGCCCGGGGCUCAACCCCGGGUCUGCAGUGGGUACGGGCAGACUAGAGUGCAGUAGGGGAGACUGGAAUUCCUGGUGUAGCGGUGAAAUGCGCAGAUAUCAGGAGGAACACCGAUGGCGAAGGCAGGUCUCUGGGCUGUUACUGACGCUGAGGAGCGAAAGCAUGGGGAGCGAACAGGAUUAGAUACCCUGGUAGUCCAUGCCGUAAACGUUGGGCACUAGGUGUGGGGGACAUUCCACGUUCUCCGCGCCGUAGCUAACGCAUUAAGUGCCCCGCCUGGGGAGUAC